This 253-nucleotide ribosomal RNA is filed under the name uncultured bacterium. Its description in RNAcentral is "partial 16S ribosomal RNA". It matches the Rfam family "Bacterial small subunit ribosomal RNA", at positions 524 to 776 of the family's 1533-position model. The record is from RNAcentral.
UACGUAGGGUGCGAGCGUUAAUCGGAAUUACUGGGCGUAAAGCGUGCGCAGGCGGUUUUGUAAGCCCGAUGUGAAAUCCCCGGGCUUAACCUGGGAAUGGCAUUUGGGACUGCAAGGCUCGAGUGCGGGAGAGGAGACUGGAAUUCCUGGUGUAGCAGUGAAAUGCGUAGAUAUCAGGAAGAACACCCGUGGCUAAGGCGGCUCUCUAGUACGGUACUGACGCUGAGACGCGAAAGCGUGGGGAGCGAACAGG